Molecule: ribosomal RNA, 252 nt
Filed under: uncultured bacterium
Lineage: Bacteria
Description: partial 16S ribosomal RNA
Rfam family: Bacterial small subunit ribosomal RNA
Source: RNAcentral
UACGUAGGUGGCAAGCGUUGUCCGGAAUUAUUGGGCGUAAAGCGCGCGCAGGCGGAUUGGUCAGUCUGUCUUAAAAGUUCGGGGCUUAACCCCGUGAUGGGAUGGAAACUGCCAGUCUAGAGUGUCGGGGAGGAAAGUGGAAUUCCUAGUGUAGCGGUGAAAUGCGUAGAUAUUAGGAAGAACACCAGUGGCGAAGGCGACUUUCUGGACGAGAACUGACGCUGAGGCGCGAAAGCCAGGGGAGCGAACGGG